RNAcentral lists this ribosomal RNA (433 nucleotides) under uncultured bacterium. RNAcentral describes it as "partial 16S ribosomal RNA". It matches the Rfam family "Bacterial small subunit ribosomal RNA", at positions 29 to 507 of the family's 1533-position model. The record is from RNAcentral.
AGCGAACGCUGGCGGCAGGCCUAACACAUGCAAGUCGAACGAACUCUUCGGAGUUAGUGGCGGACGGGUGAGUAACACGUGGGAACGUGCCUUUUGGUUCGGAAUAACUCAGGGAAACUUGUGCUAAUACCGAAUGUGCCCUUCGGGGGAAAGAUUUAUCGCCAUUAGAGCGGCCCGCGUCUGAUUAGCUAGUUGGUGAGGUAACGGCUCACCAAGGCGAAGAUCAGUAGCUGGUCUGAGAGGAUGACCAGCCACACUGGGACUGAGACACGGCCGAGACUCCUACGGGAGGCAGCAGUGGGGAAUCUUGCGCAAUGGGCGAAAGCCUGACGCAGCCAUGCCGAGUGAAUGAUGAAGGUCUUAGGAUUGUAAAAUUCUUUCACCGGGGACGAUCAUGACGGUACCCGGAGAAGAAGCCCCGGCUAACUUCGUG